AUGAACGCUGGCGGCGUGCCUAAUCCCUGCCAGUCGAGCGAACGGACGAGAAGCUUGCUUCUCUGAUGUUAGCGGCGGACGGGUGAGUAACACGUGGAUAACCUACCUAUAAGACUGGGAUAACUUCGGGAAACCGGAGCUAAUACCGGAUAAUAUUUUGAACCGCAUGGUUCAAAAGUGAAAGACGGUCUUGCUGUCACUUAUAGAUGGAUCCGGGCUGCAUUAUCUAGUUGGUAAGGUAACGGCUUACCAAGGCAACGAUGCAUAGCCGACCUGAGAGGGUGAUCGGCCACACUGGAACUGAGACACGGUCCAGACUCCUACGGGAGGCAGCAGUAGGGAAUCUUCCGCAAUGGGCGAAAGCCUGACGGAGCAACGCCGCGUGAGUGAUGAAGGUCUUCGGAUCGUAAAACUCUGUUAUUAGGGAAGAACAUAUGUGUAAGUAACUGUGCACAUCUUGACGGUACCUAAUCAGAAAGCCACGGCUAACUACGUG
This 496-nucleotide ribosomal RNA is filed under the name uncultured bacterium. RNAcentral describes it as "partial 16S ribosomal RNA". It matches the Rfam family "Bacterial small subunit ribosomal RNA", at positions 29 to 507 of the family's 1533-position model. The record is from RNAcentral.